AAGAGUGGCGACCGGCGCACGGGUGAGUAACACGUACCCAACCUCGCCGAUACUCGGGAUAGCCUUUCGAAAGAAAGAUUAAUACCCGAUGGUAUAAUCAGACCGCAUGGUUUGAUUAUUAAAGAAUUUCGGUUAUCGAUGGGGAUGCGUUCCAUUAGGCAGUUGGUGAGGUAACGGCUCACCAAACCUUCGAUGGAUAGGGGUUCUGAGAGGAAGGUCCCCCACAUUGGAACUGAGACACGGUCCAA
Molecule: ribosomal RNA, 248 nt
Filed under: uncultured bacterium
Lineage: Bacteria
Description: partial 16S ribosomal RNA
Rfam family: Bacterial small subunit ribosomal RNA
Source: RNAcentral